AUAUUUAUAUAAGGUUUAACCUGCCCAGUGAUUUUUUAAAUGGCCGCAGUAUAUUGACUGUGCGAAGGUAGCAUAAUCAUUAGUUUUUUAAUUGAAAGCUUGUAUGAAUGGUUGGACGAGAUAAAUACUGUCUCUAAUUAAUAGUUAGAAUUUAAUUUUUUAGUUAAAAGGCUAAAAUGUUUUUAAAAGACGAGAAGACCCUAUAAAGCUUUAUAUAUUUAAUUAUUAGUGUUUUAAAGAUUAUAUUUGAUUUUUGAUGGUUAAAUGUAUUUAAUUGGGGAAAUUAAAAGAUUAAAUUAAUUCUUUUUUUGUUAAUAAACAUUAAUGUAUGGUUAUUUGAUCCAUUUCUAUUGAUUAUAAGAUUAAGUUACUUUAGGGAUAACAGCGUAAUUUUUUUGGGGAGUUCAUAUUUAUAAAAGAGUUUGCGACCUCGAUGUUGGAUUAAAAUUUAAUUUGGGUGUAGAAGUUCAAAUUUUUGGUCUGUUCGACCAUUAAAAUUUUACGU
RNAcentral lists this ribosomal RNA (505 nucleotides) under Suphisellus neglectus. RNAcentral's name for it is "partial 16S ribosomal RNA". It matches the Rfam family "Bacterial large subunit ribosomal RNA", at positions 1839 to 2601 of the family's 2925-position model. The record is from RNAcentral. Lineage: Eukaryota; Metazoa; Arthropoda; Insecta; Coleoptera; Noteridae.